UGGAUCUCGAAGAAUUAAAGGCAAUAGAUCUUGUUUAUGGUCAAGAUCGAAAUCUUUCUAAUCCUCUUUUAAUAGGAUCUGUUAAGUCAAACAUUGGUAACGCUUAUAAUAAUAAUGCAAUAAAUUCGAUAAUCAAGGUACUAAUUGCUAUGGAGACCAGAGUUAUACCUCCGAAUCUUCAUUAUUCCGAGCCUCCAGAAGAGGCCCAAUGUCUUCGGGAUGGACGCGUAAAAGUAAUUACAGAACCAACACCUUGGACGGAUUGCUACGCUGCUGUUAACACAGCUGCUUUAAACGGUUCCUUCUCUCACAUUAUCCUAAAACGUCAUUCAAAAAAGAAGCAAAGGAGAAAACUUUCACCAUAUAAUAUGCCACGACUUUUUGUAGCUUCUUGUCGAACUCAGGAAAUGAUAUCAUCGAUCUUUGAUAUUUUAAAUUCGAACAGAGGAGAUGAUGAAUUGGCUCAAUUAAUUACUGAUAUUUCUGAGAAACCAUUUUCCAAUUCUCUGUAUUCUGGGUAUACAGUAAUUCCAGAUUUUGAAGCAGCUGAUUCAGAGCAAUUGAUAGAAAUGGUUCAAGCUAAUUUAUCAGUUCAAUCUCGAGAAAUCUGGUUCGUUUUUUCGGAGAUGGGAUCACAAUGGACAGGAAUGGGUGAAUCACUAAUGAAAAUACCAAUCUUUGCCGAAGCAAUAAAAAAAUGUGAUGUAGUUUUAAGACCUCAAAGUUACGAUAUUGUGCAUAUUAUAUGCGAUAAAAAUCCAACAAUAUACGAUAAUAUUAUAAACUGCUUUCUGGGAAUAGCAGCAAUAUAAAUUGGUCUGGUAGAUACUCUAUAUGCUGUCGGUGUGAAACCGAAUUACGUGAUCGGGCAUUCUGUUGGUGAGCUGGGUUGUUCUUACGAAGAUGGUUGCUUUACUGCUGAGGAAAUGAUUUUAAGCGCUCUUUCUUGUGGUUUGGCUUCAGUAGAAAGUGAUUUGAUACACGGAACGAUGGCCGCAGUAGGUCUCGGUUACAAACAGUUGCGACAUUUCUGUCCUGAAGACAUUGAUAUUGCUUGUCAUAAUGGACCCGACAGUUCUACCAUAAGUGGACCUACCGAGUACAUAAAAGCUUUUGUAAAAGAAUUACAGUGUAAAGGAAUAUUUGCUAAAACCGUGCCGACUAGUAAUAUUGCUUUUCAUAGUCGGUACAUUUCUCCAGCUGGUCCAAAGUUGUUAGAAUAUUUAAAAAAAGUCAUCUCUCAACCAAAAAAUCGCAGUAAACGUUGGCUAUGCACGUCUAUUCCGAAAAAUGAGUGGCAUUUAAUGAAAGCUCACCUUUCUUCACCAGAAUAUCAUACGAAUAAUCUCCUUUCUCCUGUCUUAUUCGAAGAAAUAUUAACAAUGUUACCAAAAAACGCUAUAACGAUUGAAAUUUCUCCCCAUGGACUUUUACAGGCAAUUCUAAGAAAAUCAUUGGACAGUGGUUGCAUUAAUUUAUCAUUAACAAAACGAGGUUAUAAGGACAAUGCAAUUUUUAUUUUAUCCACAUUAGGAAAGCUUUAUAAUCUUGGAUUUCCAAUUACGCCAGGAAAGCUCUAUCCGAGAGUUCCUUAUCCUGUUUCCAGAGAAACCCCAUCUAUUUCUCCUCUUGUUCGAUGGGAACACAGUUCUGAUUGGCACGUGGAAAGUUGUAAAUUUUGGGAAGCUCUUUAAAUAGAAGAACUGGUAGAUUUGGAAUCAGGGAAAUACAAGUUUUUACGAAAUUUUUAAAUUAACGGCAAUGUAAUCAUUUCUUUAGCUGUCUAUUUAAAGUUGGUUGUGAAUAUUUACUCGAAUUUUAUACCGAGUAAGGCUGAUAAUUUUUUUAUACUCGAGAACAUUAUUAUUCACAAUAAAUUACUAGAAGUACCUAGAAAUGGCAAAAUUCAUUUAAUUAUUAUGAUAUUUAAAGGUUCAGGAAAAUUUGAAGUAAAAACUAAAGAUGAAAUUAUGAUAGCUUCUGGAACUAUUCGCUUAGCAGAAACACAGAAAAAGAGAUUCCAGAAAUCAUUUUACCAAAAGAAGAAACGAAAAUUUUAGAGGAAGAAAAUAUUUACUCUAAUCUAUUUUUACAUGGUUACCAGUAUGAAGAAUCUUACAAUAUUAUAAGCGGACUUUCUACAUCGUGUUCUAGUGGAGCACUUAAAUGGAGCAGAGACUGGAGAUUAUUACUAGAAGGAUUAGUUCAAGUACAUAUUAUCAGCAGUAGGAAUAAAAAUAUGUUGGUACCGAGUAGGAUACAAAAACUCGUCAUCGAGAUGGAAAAAUUAACA
Molecule: unclassified non-coding RNA, 2293 nt
Filed under: Polistes fuscatus (common paper wasp)
Lineage: Eukaryota; Metazoa; Arthropoda; Insecta; Hymenoptera; Vespidae
Description: fatty acid synthase-like, transcript variant X1
Source: RNAcentral